AUGGGGUACCAAGUGGUGGCGGCGCAGCUGGCGCGGCUGAGCGGCGCGCUGGGCACCUCGGACCACGCCUCCGUGGUCUCCAUCACCCUCUUCGUCGCGCUGCUCUGCGCCUGCAUCGUCCUCGGCCACCUGCUCGAGGAGAACCGCUGGCUCAACGAGUCCAUCACCGCCCUCAUCAUCGGGCUGUGCACCGGCGUGGUGAUCCUGAUGACCACCAAGGGGAAGAGCUCGCACGUGCUCGUCUUCAGCGAGGACCUCUUCUUCAUCUACCUCCUGCCUCCCAUCAUCUUCAACGCCGGUUUCCAGGUGAAGAAGAAGCAGUUCUUCCGGAAUUUCAUGACAAUCACACUAUUUGGUGCCGUUGGGACGAUGAUGUCGUUUUUCACAAUAUCUCUUGCUGCCAUUGCGAUAUUCAGCAGGAUGAACAUUGGGACACUGGAUGUAUCAGAUUUUCUUGCAAUUGGAGCUAUCUUUUCCGCCACAGAUUCUGUCUGCACUCUACAGGUUCUCAAUCAGGACGAGACGCCCUUUUUGUACAGUCUGGUGUUCGGGGAAGGUGUUGUGAACGAUGCCACAUCGGUCGUGCUUUUCAACGCGCUCCAGAACUUCGAUCCUAACCAGAUCGACGCGAUCGUCAUUCUGAAGUUCUUGGGGAACUUCUGCUACUUAUUCGUGUCAAGCACCUUCCUUGGAGUGUUUACUGGAUUGCUUAGUGCAUACGUCAUCAAGAAGUUAUACAUAGGAAGGCAUUCUACUGACCGUGAGGUUGCACUUGUGAUGCUCAUGGCCUACCUCUCAUAUAUGCUAGCUGAGCUGCUAGAUUUGAGUGGUAUCCUCACUGUAUUCUUCUGUGGUAUUGUGAUGUCACAUUACACUUGGCACAACGUGACAGAGAGCUCAAGAGUUACAACAAAGCAUGCAUUUGCAACCUUGUCCUUCAUCGCUGAGACUUUUCUCUUCCUUUAUGUUGGGAUGGAUGCACUGGAUAUUGAGAAGUGGAAAUUUGCUAGUGACAGCCCCGGCAAAUCCAUUGGAAUAAGCUCAAUUUUGCUCGGGUUGGUUCUGGUUGGAAGAGCUGCUUUCGUCUUCCCGCUCUCGUUCUUAUCCAACCUGACAAAGAAGACGGAGCUCGAAAAAAUAAGCUGGAGGCAGCAAAUCGUAAUAUGGUGGGCUGGGCUGAUGAGAGGAGCUGUGUCGAUCGCUCUUGCUUACAAUAAGUUUACAAGAUCUGGUCACACACAGCUGCACGGCAACGCGAUAAUGAUCACCAGCACCAUCACUGUCGUUCUGUUUAGCACUAUGUUGUUUGGCAUUUUGACAAAGCCUCUGAUCCGGUUCCUACUGCCCGCGUCGAGCAAUGGCGCCGCCUCAGAUCCCGCGUCACCGAAGUCCCUGCACUCUCCUCUCCUCACAAGCCAGCUAGGCUCGGACCUGGAGGCGCCUCUCCCCAUCGUGAGGCCCUCCAGCCUCCGGAUGCUCAUCACCAAGCCGACCCACACCAUCCACUACUACUGGCGCAAGUUUGACGACGCGCUGAUGCGCCCGAUGUUCGGAGGGCGCGGGUUCGUGCCCUACUCCCCAGGAUCACCCACCGAUCCGAACGUACUCGUGGAAUGA
Molecule: ribosomal RNA, 1617 nt
Filed under: Triticum aestivum (bread wheat)
Lineage: Eukaryota; Viridiplantae; Streptophyta; Magnoliopsida; Poales; Poaceae
Description: partial small subunit ribosomal RNA
Source: RNAcentral